RNAcentral lists this ribosomal RNA (1170 nucleotides) under Klebsiella oxytoca. RNAcentral's name for it is "partial 23S ribosomal RNA". It matches the Rfam family "Bacterial large subunit ribosomal RNA", at positions 1747 to 2925 of the family's 2925-position model. The record is from RNAcentral. Lineage: Bacteria; Pseudomonadati; Pseudomonadota; Gammaproteobacteria; Enterobacterales; Enterobacteriaceae.
GGAGCUGAAAUCAGUCGAAGAUACCAGCUGGCUGCAACUGUUUAUUAAAAACACAGCACUGUGCAAACACGAAAGUGGACGUAUACGGUGUGACGCCUGCCCGGUGCCGGAAGGUUAAUUGAUGGGGUUAUCCUCACGGAGAAGCUCUUGAUCGAAGCCCCGGUAAACGGCGGCCGUAACUAUAACGGUCCUAAGGUAGCGAAAUUCCUUGUCGGGUAAGUUCCGACCUGCACGAAUGGCGUAAUGAUGGCCAGGCUGUCUCCACCCGAGACUCAGUGAAAUUGAACUCGCUGUGAAGAUGCAGUGUACCCGCGGCAAGACGGAAAGACCCCGUGAACCUUUACUAUAGCUUGACACUGAACACUGGUCCUUGAUGUGUAGGAUAGGUGGGAGGCUUUGAAGUGUGGACGCCAGUCUGCAUGGAGCCAUCCUUGAAAUACCACCCUUUAAUGGCUGGUGUUCUAACGUGGGCCCGUAAUCCGGGUUGCGGACAGUGUCUGGUGGGUAGUUUGACUGGGGCGGUCUCCUCCUAAAGAGUAACGGAGGAGCACGAAGGUCAGCUAAUCCUGGUCGGACAUCAGGAGGUUAGUGCAAUGGCAUAAGCUGGCUUGACUGCGAGCGUGACGGCGCGAGCAGGUGCGAAAGCAGGUCAUAGUGAUCCGGUGGUUCUGAAUGGAAGGGCCAUCGCUCAACGGAUAAAAGGUACUCCGGGGAUAACAGGCUGAUACCGCCCAAGAGUUCAUAUCGACGGCGGUGUUUGGCACCUCGAUGUCGGCUCAUCACAUCCUGGGGCUGAAGUAGGUCCCAAGGGUAUGGCUGUUCGCCAUUUAAAGUGGUACGCGAGCUGGGUUUAGAACGUCGUGAGACAGUUCGGUCCCUAUCUGCCGUGGGCGCUGGAGAAUUGAGGGGGGCUGCUCCUAGUACGAGAGGACCGGAGUGGACGCAUCACUGGUGUUCGGGUUGUCAUGCCAAUGGCAUUGCCCGGUAGCUAAAUGCGGAAGAGAUAAGUGCUGAAAGCAUCUAAGCACGAAACUUGCCCCGAGAUGAGUUCUCCCUGACCCUUUAAGGGUCCUGAAGGAACGUUGAAGACGACGACGUUGAUAGGCCGGGUGUGUAAGCGCAGCGAUGCGUUGAGCUAACCGGUACUAAUGAACCGUGAGGCUUAACCUU